Molecule: ribosomal RNA, 486 nt
Filed under: uncultured bacterium
Lineage: Bacteria
Description: partial 16S ribosomal RNA
Rfam family: Bacterial small subunit ribosomal RNA
Source: RNAcentral
GACGAACGCUGGCGGCGUGCUUAACACAUGCAAGUCGAACGGUGACCUCGAGAGCUUGCUCUCGGGUGAUCAGUGGCGAACGGGUGAGUAACACGUGAGUAACCUGCCCCAGACUCUGGAAUAACCCCGGGAAACCGGAGCUAAUACCGGAUACGAGACGGAGAGGCAUCUCUACCGUCUGGAAAGUUUUUCGGUCUGGGAUGGACUCGCGGCCUAUCAGCUUGUUGGUGAGGUAACGGCUCACCAAGGCGACGACGGGUAGCCGGCCUGAGAGGGCGACCGGCCACACUGGGACUGAGACACGGCCCAGACUCCUACGGGAGGCAGCAGUGGGGAAUAUUGCACAAUGGGCGAAAGCCUGAUGCAGCGACGCCGCGUGAGGGAUGACGGCCUUCGGGUUGUAAACCUCUUUCAGCAGGGAAGAAGCGAAAGUGACGGUACCUGCAGAAGAAGCACCGGCUAACUACGUGCCAGCCGCCGCGGUAA